GCCAAUGUAGCUCAGUUGGUAGAGCAUCCCCAUGGUAAGGGGAAGGUCGUCGGUUCAAUCCCGACCAUUGGCU
RNAcentral lists this transfer RNA (73 nucleotides) under Minisyncoccota bacterium. Its description in RNAcentral is "tRNA-Thr". It matches the Rfam family "tRNA". Rfam says of the family: Transfer RNA (tRNA) molecules are approximately 80 nucleotides in length. Their secondary structure includes four short double-helical elements and three loops (D, anti-codon, and T loops). Lineage: Bacteria; Bacillati; Minisyncoccota. The record is from RNAcentral.